This 927-nucleotide ribosomal RNA is filed under the name uncultured bacterium. RNAcentral's name for it is "bacterial SSU rRNA". It matches the Rfam family "Bacterial small subunit ribosomal RNA", at positions 56 to 977 of the family's 1533-position model. The record is from RNAcentral.
UGCAGUCGAACGGCAGCACGGACUUCGGUCUGGUGGCGAGUGGCGAACGGGUGAGUAAUAUAUCGGAACGUAUCCAAUAAUGGGGGAUAACUAAUCGAAAGGUUGGCUAAUACCGCAUACGCCCUACGGGGGAAAGCUAGGGACCUUCGGGCCUGGCGUUAAUGGAGCGGCUGAUAUCUGAUUAGCUAGUAGGUGAGGUAAAAGCUCACCUAGGCGACGAUCAGUAGCUGGUCUGAGAGGACGACCAGCCACACUGGAACUGAGACACGGUCCAGACUCCUACGGGAGGCAGCAGUGGGGAAUUUUGGACAAUGGGCGAAAGCCUGAUCCAGCCAUUCCGCGUGAGUGAAGAAGGCCUUCGGGUUGUAAAGCUCUUUCGCAAGGGAAGAAAACUUAGAUACUAAUAUUAUCUGAGGUUGACGGUACCUUGAUAAGAAGCACCGGCUAACUACGUGCCAGCAGCCGCGGUAAUACGUAGGGUGCGAGCGUUAAUCGGAAUUACUGGGCGUAAAGCGUGCGCAGGCGGUUUUGUAAGUCAGAUGUGAAAUCCCCGAGCUCAACUUGGGAACUGCGUUUGAAACUACAAGACUAGAAUAUGUCAGAGGGGGGUAGAAUUCCACGUGUAGCAGUGAAAUGCGUAGAGAUGUGGAGGAAUACCAAUGGCGAAGGCAGCCCCCUGGGAUAAUAUUGACGCUCAUGCACGAAAGCGUGGGGAGCAAACAGGAUUAGAUACCCUGGUAGUCCACGCCCUAAACGAUGUCUACUAGUUGUUGGUGGAGUAAAAUCCAUGAGUAACGCAGCUAACGCGUGAAGUAGANCGCCUGGGGAGUACGGUCGCAAGAUUAAAACUCAAAUGAAUUGACGGGGGCCCGCACAAGCGGUGGAUUAUGUGGAUUAAUUCGAUGCAACGCGAAAAANCNUUACCUG